Molecule: long non-coding RNA, 1530 nt
Organism: Pan troglodytes (chimpanzee)
Lineage: Eukaryota; Metazoa; Chordata; Mammalia; Primates; Hominidae
Exons: 3
Source: RefSeq, a predicted model, not a curated record
AGGACAUUCCGUUGGGCUAGAGAGGGAGAACCACUCAGCUGGCUUAAUGAAAGACACAGGUGUGGGACUUUGCCAGCAAAUGCAAGCCUGGAGCCACCACACAGCAGAGAGGAGUAGGAACCCAGAGUAUGGAAGCCCCUUCCUCUCCUGCACCAAGUCACUCACAGCACCAUGACGGGCAGCAGUAGAAGGAUUAGAAACCACACCGCCCUGCUAGGAGUUGAACUUUUCUUCAACUGGCUCUUAAGCUGACCUGAGAUUGCACUAGUUGGAAGAUACCAAGAUACUCUUAAAAGAGAAGAUGAAGUUCUCAUGUUUCAACUCCUAUUACUGUUGACUGUCAACUUCCCAAAAGGCCCCGGAAAAACAUGUUAAUGGAACAAAACUAAGUUUAUUAGAUUUACUGUAGUAUAAGAGAAAACCACCUUGGUAGAGUCUUGAUAGUGCCUCAGGUUGACAAAGUCAGGGUCUGCACUGGGGGACUUCUAAGGUAGCUUCUGCAAGGUGGGGAGUAGCUUGGGACUGGGCAGGGUUUCUACCCUAACAAUUCUCAAUUGGUAAGCCCCGCAAGGCCAAGGAUCCUGAAGCAAAUCUAGAUAAGAAAGAUACUGGAUUUUAUAAGCUAGCUAUUUUAGUGGAUUUACUGUCUCAUUUUUGGUAAGCAAGUCUUCCUGAAGCAAGCAGCAGAGUCCUUUCAGCCACAAGUCUUAAUAGUUUGCGUGAGUGUUAAUCUGCUUCUCAUAGAGUCACCAUGAAACACACCUUAGACAGGUGAACUGGGAGUACCGCACACAGCAUGGCUUCCAGCCUGAAGUGACUGUAAAACGCCAGUGAAUAGAGAGGCUCAAGGCUGAGUAAAGGAUCCUGCACACUCAACAAGCUCAUCCUUCUCUGCACCCGAGUUGUUUAUAGAGUCCCAGUUACAGAGCUUUCAGAAGGUGGAAUUCGUCCACAGCACACUAUUGAUGCCUAUCGAAUCUAAGGAAAUUAACUAAGAAGGGAAGAAAUAAUCUUCAUAGAGGGAUUUGAGAACCCAGAAGACGGUAUGGGCCUGGCAGUGUGCAUGCUGCAAACUAUGCACCAUCACUGGCCUAAAACGCACCUCUGUGUGCAUCAUUUACUCACGUUUAAAAAUCACCCUCUACUUGUUCCCCUGUGACCCUCAUUGGACUAUAUCCAGACAGCACUAAAGUGAUAGCCAGAAAAAGUAGAAACAACCCAUGUGUUCAUCCACUGACGAAUGGAUCAAAACAUGUGGCGUGUCCAUCCAUACAAGGGGAUAUUACCCAGCAGUCAAAAGGAGCAAAGAACUGAUGUAUACCACACCAUGGCUGAUUCUCAACAGUAUGUUCAGUGAAAGAAACCAGUCACAAAAGCACAUGUACUGUAUGGUUCUAUUUAUAUGAACUGCUUGGAGGAGGCACCUAGUGGUUGCCAGGGGCUUGGGGUGGGGGUGGAGGGCAGGAAUGGGGAAUGCCUGCCCCCUCCAUGGGGUUUCUUUGUGGGGUGAUUAAAAUGUUCUAAAAUUGG